This 295-nucleotide signal recognition particle RNA is filed under the name Aotus nancymaae (Ma's night monkey). RNAcentral's name for it is "Metazoan signal recognition particle RNA (ENSANAG00000009438.1)". It matches the Rfam family "Metazoan signal recognition particle RNA". Rfam says of the family: The signal recognition particle (SRP) is a universally conserved ribonucleoprotein. The record is from RNAcentral. Lineage: Eukaryota; Metazoa; Chordata; Mammalia; Primates; Aotidae.
GCCGGGUGCAUUGUCACGUGCCUGUAGUCCCAGCUACUCAGGAGGCUGAGGUGGGAGGAUCGCUUGACCCCAGGAGUUCUGGGCUGUAGUGCGCUAUGCCAAUCGGGUGUCCGCACUAAGUUCGGCAUCAAUAUGGUGACCUCCGGGAGCUGGGGACCACCAGGUUGUCUAAGGAGGAGUGAACUGGCCCAGGUUGGAAACGGAGCAGGUCAAAACUCCCCUGCUGAUCAGUACUGGGAUUGUGCCUGUGAAUAGCCACUGCACUCCAGCCUGGGCUAGUGAGUCCCCUUUCUUA